RNAcentral lists this ribosomal RNA (440 nucleotides) under uncultured bacterium. Its description in RNAcentral is "partial 16S ribosomal RNA". It matches the Rfam family "Bacterial small subunit ribosomal RNA", at positions 338 to 795 of the family's 1533-position model. The record is from RNAcentral.
CCUACGGGCGGCAGCAGUAGGGAAUAUUGCUCAAUGGGGGAAACCCUGAAGCAGCAACGCCGCGUGGAGGAUGAAGGUUUUCGGAUUGUAAACUCCUUUUGUUAGAGAAGAUAAUGACGGUAUCUAACGAAUAAGCACCGGCUAACUCCGUGCCAGCAGCCGCGGUAAUACGGAGGGUGCAAGCGUUACUCGGAAUCACUGGGCGUAAAGAGCGCGUAGGCGGGAUAGCAAGUCAGAUGUGAAAUCCUAGGGCUUAACCAUAGAACUGCAUUUGAAACUGUUAUUAUAGAGUAUGUGAGAGGUAGGUGGAAUUCUUGGUGUAGGGGUAAAAUCCGUAGAGAUCAAGAGGAAUACUCAUUGCGAAGGCGACCUGCUAGAACAUAACUGACGCUGAUGCGCGAAAGCGUGGGGAGCAAACAGGAUUAGAUACCCUUGUAGUC